Molecule: long non-coding RNA, 2586 nt
Filed under: Salmo salar (Atlantic salmon)
Lineage: Eukaryota; Metazoa; Chordata; Actinopteri; Salmoniformes; Salmonidae
Description: lncRNA (ENSSSAG00000083538.1)
Source: RNAcentral
GAGAGUAAACGAAUAAGAAAUAUAAUUAAAUUCCAUCCACAAAGUGCAAUUUGGUUGCAGAAAAAUUGUGUGUAGUGUGUGUAGUGUGUAGUGUGUGUAUAGUGUGUGUGUGUGUAGUGUGUAUAGUGUGUGUGUGUGUGUAGUGUAUAGUGUGUGUAUAGUGUGUGUGUGUAGUGUGUAUAGUGUGUGUGUGUGUAGUGUGUAUAGUGUGUGUAGUGUGUAGUGUGUGUAUAGUGUGUGUGUGUGUAGUGUGUAUAGUGUGUGUGUGUGUGUAGUGUAUAGUGUGUGUAUAGUGUGUGUGUGUAGUGUGUAUAGUGUGUGUGUGUGUAGUGUGUAUAGUGUGUGUGUAGUGUGUGUAUAGUGUGUAGUGUAUAGUGUGUGUAGUGUAUAGUGUGUGUGUGUAGUGUGUAUAGUGUGUGUGUAGUGUGUGUAUAGUGUGUGUAGUGUGUGUGUGUAGUGUGUAUAGUGUGUGUAUAGUGUGUGUAUAGUGUGUGUGUAGUGUGUGUAGUGUGUGUAGUGUGUGUGUGUAGUGUGUGUAGUGUGUGUGUGUAGUGUGUAUAGUGUGUGUAUAGUGUGUGUGUAGUGUGUGUAGUGUGUGUAGUGUGUGUGUGUAGUGUGUGUAUAGUGUGUGUGUAGUGUGUGUAUAGUGUGUGUAGUGUGUGUGUAGUGUGUAUAGUGUGUGUAGUGUGUGUAUAGGUGUGUGUAUAGUGUGUGUGUAGUGUGUAUAGUGUGUGUGUAGUGUGUAUAGUGUGUGUAUAGUGUGUGUGUAGUGUGUGUAGUAGUGUGUAUAGUGUGUGUAUAGUGUGUGUGUAGUGUGUAUAGUGUGUGUGUGUAGUGUGUAUAGUGUGUGUAUAGUGUGUGUGUAGUGUGUAUAGUGUGUAGUGUAUAGUGUGUGUGUAGUGUGUAUAGUGUGUGUAUAGUGUGUGUGUGUAGUGUGUAUAGCGUGUAGUGUAUAGUGUGUGUAGUGUGUGUAUAGUGUGUGUGUAGUGUGUGUGUAGUGUGUAGUGUAUAGUGUGUGUAUAGUGUGUGUAUAGUGUGUGUAUAGUGUGUGUGUAGUGUGUGUAUAGUGUGUAGUGUAUAGUGUGUGUAGUGUGUAUAGUGUGUGUAUAGUGUGUGUGUAGUGUGUAUAGUGUGUAGUGUAUAGUGUGUGUAGCGUGUGUGUGUAGUGUAUAUAGUGUGUGUAGUGUGUGUGUGUGUAGUGUGUAUAGUGUGUGUAGUGUGUGUGUGUAGUGUGUGUGUAGUGUGUAUAGUGUGUAGUGUAUAGUGUGUGUAGUGUGUGUGUGUAGUGUAUAUAGUGUGUGUAGUGUGUGUGUAGUGUGUAUAGUGUGUGUAUAGUGUGUGUGUAGUGUGUAUAGUGUGUAGUGUAUAGUGUGUGUAGUGUGUGUGUGUAGUGUGUAUAGUGUGUAGUGUAUAGUGUGUGUAGUGUGUGUAUAGUGUGUGUAGUGUGUGUGUGUAGUGUGUAUAGUGUGUGUGUAGUGUGUGUAUAGUGUGUGUAGUGUGUGUGUGUAGUGUAUAGUGUGUGUAGUGUGUGUAUAGUGUGUGUAGUGUGUGUGUGUGUAGUGUGUAUAGUGUGUGUGUAGUGUGUGUGUAGUGUGUAUAGUGUGUAGUGUAUAGUGUGUGUAGUGUGUGUAUAGUGUGUGUAUAGUGUGUGUGUAGUGUGUAUAGUGUGUGUGUAGUGUGUAUAGUGUGUGUAUAGUGUGUGUGUAGUGUGUAUAGUGUGUGUAUAGUGUGUGUGUGUAGUGUGUAUAGUGUGUAGUGUAUAGUGUGUGUAGUGUGUGUAUAGUGUGUGUAUAGUGUGUGUGUAGUGUGUGUGUAGUGUGUAGUGUGUGUAGUGUGUGUAUAGUGUGUGUAGUGUGUAUAGUGUGUGUAUAGUGUGUGUGUAGUGUGUAUAGUGUGUAGUGUAUAGUGUGUGUAGUGUGUGUGUGUAGUGUGUAUAGUGUGUAGUGUAUAGUGUGUGUAGUGUGUGUAUAGUGUGUAUGUUGUGUGUGUGUAGUGUGUAUAGUGUGUAGUGUAUAGUGUGUGUAGUGUGUGUGUGUAGUGUAUAUAGUGUGUGUGUGUAUAUAGUGUGUGUAGUGUGUGUGUGUAUAGUGUGUGUAUAGUGUGUAGUGUAUAGUGUGUGUAGUGUGUGUGUGUGUGUAUAGUGUGUAUAGUGUGUAUAGUGUGUGUGUGUAUAGUGUGUGUAUAGUGUGUAUAGUGUGUGUGUGUGUAGUGUGUAGUGUAUAAAUACCUGUGUAGUAGUGUGUGUGUUGUAUAGUGUAUAGUGUGUAGUGUGUAUAGUGUGUAGUGUGUAUAGUGUAUAGUGUAUAGUGUGUAUAGUGUAUAGUGUAUAGUGUGUAUAGUGUAUAGUGUAUAGUGUAUAGUGUGUAGUGUAUAGUGUGUAUAGUGUAUAGUGUAUAGUGUGUAGUGUAUAAAUACCUGUGUAGUAGUUGUUGAUGCUGCUGUUGUUCAGAGACUCAGCGAUCAGAUUCAGACUGUUCUUACUGCGGGUACAGCUGGCAUUCAUCUCUACAUAACUAUAACCCAGCUCCUACACACACACACAGAGACAGCUGGCAUUCAUCUCUACAUAACUAUAACCCAGCUCCU